AACAGAUGCUUCGCUAUUAAAAUAUUUCCCCCCAAUACUGAAGAAUCUUAAACCAGCAACCCUAACAGAGAUUGCGAAGAUUUUCAAAGUGGGGCACCUCGAUUUCUCGAAUCUGUGGUGUGGCGAAUAUCCGUGUUCCUCCUGCUUAACUAGCCUGUUUGCAUCUUUUGACACAUUUUACUUCCGUAAUUUCGGACUGCCAGGCACAGUUCAUUCUCGAGCAAUUCGUCACCUCCUGGGGGUCUUCUCUUCCCGUCUACAGGAGAGUGUGACUUCAGAAAGAACUUCGGAUUGGCCAAGGCAGGUCUGAUUCUAUUUAUUCUAAAGACAGAGUUGGAGAUGGGCUACCAUUGGUGUUGAUUGAGAUGACAAGCAGUCACCUGAGCCCAUACAGCUGGGUUCACAGAUGUGGCUAGUCUUGCUAGCCAGCUCGCACUGUGGACAUUCUAGGGAACUGACUGCAGUCCUCAUGCUUGGAGUCAAACACUUUAACCACUGCACACGUUUAUGUAAUAGGAUUGACAUAUGAGAAUCAGAGAAAUGAAUGAAAGAUUAGAGUGGGAGAAAGUGCUUGCUGCCAAGCUUGAUGACCUAAAUUGAAUACCUGGAACCUACACGACAGAAAGAGAGAGCUGACUGCUGAAAGAUGUCCUCAGAUCUUCACAUGUGCACAGUGGCACCUAUCCAACCAUGCACAUAGUAUAUUAAAAAUUAUUUUUUAAAAAA
This 726-nucleotide long non-coding RNA is filed under the name Mus musculus (house mouse). Its description in RNAcentral is "Hand2, opposite strand 1". Lineage: Eukaryota; Metazoa; Chordata; Mammalia; Rodentia; Muridae. The record is from RNAcentral.